UUUUAAGAAUUUUAGACAACACUCAGGACGAACGCUGGCGGCGUGCCUAAUACAUGCAAGUCGAGCGGACAGAUGGGAGCUUGCUCCCUGAUGUUAGCGGCGGACGGGUGAGUAACACGUGGGUAACCUGCCUGUAAGACUGGGAUAACUCCGGGAAACCGGGGCUAAUACCGGAUGGUUGUUUGAACCGCAUGGUUCAAACAUAAAAGGUGGCUUCGGCUACCACUUACAGAUGGACCCGCGGCGCAUUAGCUAGUUGGUGAGGUAAUGGCUCACCAAGGCAACGAUGCGUAGCCGACCUGAGAGGGUGAUCGGCCACACUGGGACUGAGACACGGCCCAGACUCCUACGGGAGGCAGCAGUAGGGAAUCUUCCGCAAUGGACGAAAGUCUGACGGAGCAACGCCGCGUGAGUGAUGAAGGUUUUCGGAUCGUAAAGCUCUGUUGUUAGGGAAGAACAAGUACCGUUCGAAUAGGGCGGUACCUUGACGGUACCUAACCAGAAAGCCACGGCUAACUACGUGCCAGCAGCCGCGGUAAUACGUAGGUGGCAAGCGUUGUCCGGAAUUAUUGGGCGUAAAGGGCUCGCAGGCGGUUUCUUAAGUCUGAUGUGAAAGCCCCCGGCUCAACCGGGGAGGGUCAUUGGAAACUGGGGAACUUGAGUGCAGAAGAGGAGAGUGGAAUUCCACGUGUAGCGGUGAAAUGCGUAGAGAUGUGGAGGAACACCAGUGGCGAAGGCGACUCUCUGGUCUGUAACUGACGCUGAGAGCGAAAGC
Molecule: ribosomal RNA, 775 nt
Filed under: Bacillus subtilis
Lineage: Bacteria; Bacillati; Bacillota; Bacilli; Caryophanales; Bacillaceae
Description: bacterial SSU rRNA
Rfam family: Bacterial small subunit ribosomal RNA
Source: RNAcentral